ACCCCAAACCGACACAGGUGGUCAGGUAGAGAAUACCAAGGCGCUUGAGAGAACUCGGGUGAAGGAACUAGGCAAAAUGGUGCCGUAACUUCGGGAGAAGGCACGCUGAUAUGUAGGUGAAGUCCCUCGCGGAUGGAGCUGAAAUCAGUCGAAGAUACCAGCUGGCUGCAACUGUUUAUUAAAAACACAGCACUGUGCAAACACGAAAGUGGACGUAUACGGUGUGACGCCUGCCCGGUGCCGGAAGGUUAAUUGAUGGGG
RNAcentral lists this ribosomal RNA (261 nucleotides) under Escherichia coli. RNAcentral's name for it is "partial 23S ribosomal RNA". It matches the Rfam family "Bacterial large subunit ribosomal RNA", at positions 1646 to 1889 of the family's 2925-position model. The record is from RNAcentral. Lineage: Bacteria; Pseudomonadati; Pseudomonadota; Gammaproteobacteria; Enterobacterales; Enterobacteriaceae.